RNAcentral lists this ribosomal RNA (690 nucleotides) under Latilactobacillus curvatus. RNAcentral's name for it is "bacterial SSU rRNA". It matches the Rfam family "Bacterial small subunit ribosomal RNA", at positions 62 to 717 of the family's 1533-position model. Lineage: Bacteria; Bacillati; Bacillota; Bacilli; Lactobacillales; Lactobacillaceae. The record is from RNAcentral.
UCACACUCUCGUUAGAUUGAACAAGCUUGCUUCUGAUUGAUAACAUUUGAGUGAGUGGCGGACGGGUGAGUAACACGUGGGUAACCUGCCCUAAAGUGGGGGAUAACAUUUGGAAACAGAUGCUAAUACCGCAUAAAACCUAGCACCGCAUGGUGCAAGGUUGAAAGAUGGUUUCGGCUAUCACUUUAGUGAUGGACCCGCGGUGCAUUAGUUAGUUGGUGAGGUAAAGGCUCACCAAGACCGUGAUGCAUAGCCGACCUGAGAGGGUAAUCGGCCACACUGGGACUGAGACACGGCCCAGACUCCUACGGGAGGCAGCAGUAGGGAAUCUUCCACAAUGGACGAAAGUCUGAUGGAGCAACGCCGCGUGAGUGAAGAAGGUUUUCGGAUCGUAAAACUCUGUUGUUGGAGAAGAACGUAUUUGAUAGUAACUGAUCAGGUAGUGACGGUAUCCAACCAGAAAGCCACGGCUAACUACGUGCCAGCAGCCGCGGUAAUACGUAGGUGGCAAGCGUUGUCCGGAUUUAUUGGGCGUAAAGCGAGCGCAGGCGGUUUCUUAAGUCUGAUGUGAAAGCCUUCGGCUCAACCGAAGAAGUGCAUCGGAAACUGGGAAACUUGAGUGCAGAAGAGGACAGUGGAACUCCAUGUGUAGCGGUGAAAUGCGUAGAUAUAUGGAAGAACACAGUGGCG